UACGUAGGGUGCGAGCGUUGUCCGGAAUUAUUGGGCGUAAAGGGCUCGUAGGCGGUUUGUCGCGUCGGGAGUGAAAACCAGGUGCUUAACACCUGGCUUGCUUUCGAUACGGGCAGACUAGAGGUAUGCAGGGGAGAACGGAAUUCCUGGUGUAGCGGUGAAAUGCGCAGAUAUCAGGAGGAACACCGGUGGCGAAGGCGGUUCUCUGGGCAGUAACUGACGCUGAGGAGCGAAAGCGUGGGGAGCGAACAGG
RNAcentral lists this ribosomal RNA (253 nucleotides) under uncultured bacterium. RNAcentral describes it as "partial 16S ribosomal RNA". It matches the Rfam family "Bacterial small subunit ribosomal RNA", at positions 524 to 776 of the family's 1533-position model. The record is from RNAcentral.